Molecule: long non-coding RNA, 547 nt
Filed under: Setaria viridis
Lineage: Eukaryota; Viridiplantae; Streptophyta; Magnoliopsida; Poales; Poaceae
Description: long non-coding RNA (SVIR_LNC009466)
Source: RNAcentral
GGGGAGUAGUACUUUCGAAUGACCUAUGCUGUAGAAGGUGACAUCAAUUAUUGGUUAGGUUCCUCGCUGGUUUCUUAUUCCUCAUUUCAAGCUAAUCUUCUUUCAGAAUUUCUGUCAAAGAAAGAGAGGAGGAGAAGAAAGAUAUUACGUAUCAUGUAGACGAUGACCCCUUGGGGACGAAAAAGAUGGGCCGCCGUUGGAUCAGGGAACUCGACUGCGAUUUCCCCUCCAACCUAUGGUUCCUUACCUGAAAUCAACAGAACGGUCCACCGUGGUCUGAAUAACCAAGAGACUUGUCUUGCCAAGUAUCAUUCGUAGCUACUAUGGUCCAAGAGACUAUCAGUCAUCAUGUAAUUCGGCCAAGAUUCUUUGACUACACACGCAGCUACUAUGGUCGGAUAAGUUGACCAAUAAUAUACAUGAACCCAAUUCGAAUUUGCCCCCUAUCACAUAUGCAAACAAUUGUCGCUGGAAGUCUGGGCAAGGCACGUGCGUUCCCAUUUGGAUGACUCAUCGUGUCUGAACUUCCACGAUACUUCCAUGUCAC